This is a non-coding RNA of Polypterus senegalus (gray bichir), 1673 nucleotides long. Lineage: Eukaryota; Metazoa; Chordata; Cladistia; Polypteriformes; Polypteridae. The record is from the annotation of a RefSeq genome assembly.
AAAGACUGAAGCACACUGACAAUGAUGUCCCUCAUCCUGCUGAUCUGGACGGCCGUGCUGUUUGCUCAGAACAGCAGCGCCGACAUUAUCCUCAGUCAGCCCCAGCGGAUCCAAACUGCUCUUGUAGGACAGAGUGUCUCUCUCAAAUGCACCACCAGCACCUCCAUUAGUCAGUACUUGAUGUGGUACCAUCAGAAACCAGAGCAAGCUCCCCGCCUCCUGAUUUACGAUGCUGUUAACCGCUAUACUGGGAUUCCUGAGCGCUUCAAAGGCAGUGGAUCAGGCACAGACUUUACUCUAACCAUCAGUGACGUCCAGGACGAAGAUUCAGGAUAUUACUAUUGUCAGCAGAGGCAAAGUAGGCCCUUCACACAAUGAUAGACAGCCAUACAAAAACCUCCUCGACUUAACAGCAGUGCGGUCGUACAGAUGCUGAGGUGAAGAUCACUGAGUCAUGACGGCAACAAGCAGAGCCUGACGUUCUGUCACUCAUGAAAAGAGGUUCAGCCAUGAAGGAGAGAGUAUGGCAGGGUGGUUUUGCUGAGCUCAUAAAUAUCUUUUUAAUAGUGUUAAUUUUUUGGUUGUUCUUACUUGCUGGUCAUAGGAGUAAAAGACUCCCAAAGGGUAGUAAACAUAACAUAAUGCUGGAGCACUCCCAUCACAAUAACCAAUGCAGCAAUCGAUCUCUAACCUCUCACAUAAAGUGCACAAUCAAUCAGACCCGUUCUGUUAUCUGAGAAUAGCUGAUGGCAACUGCUUCAUAUUCAUGAAGCUGAAUGUCACAUUCUGAAUGCUUUCCCUGAUGUUUAAAUGUGUUUGUCUAUCAAAUUAAUAUUUGAUAUAAAUGAUUGCACAAACAAAAAUAAUAAAAUUCUAUAUUUAUGAUGAGAAACACAAAACACAUUGCCACUCUCCAGUGCCACAUUUAUUUACACAGGUCAUUAAUUAGAGGUUGGCUUGUUGGCUAAUGGAGACAUCAGUGCUGCAGACUGUGAGGUGGUGUAAGCUCAUAAUUCCUUAUAAAUAACCCAGUGGUGCAAGUGGUAUGAUUUGAAGACUUGUGUACUAAACAAAACACAGGUUUAAAUACUUAGCCUCACUUAGAUGUUUAAUGAGCAUGUGCAAGUACUUCCUGUCUGAUUCAUAAAUCUUGUUCAUUUAACUUUGGUUCUCUUGAGUUCAAGGGUCUUGGACCAUCUGUAUUCUGUGGGCCCUUUCUUCACCUUCCCCUUGGGAUCUCCUUAGUAUAGUUAUACCCCUUGAGGAUGGAGCUAGCACCCAGCCUCCCUGAACCGCAGCAUGCGUCCUACCUCCGGCUAUUCAGGUACGGUACUCUCCCAACUGACUGUUAAUGGAUGUUGAUUCUUCCUGGUGGGUUGCUAUGUCCUGCUCUUGGAACUUUUGUGAGUCAAUCAAAUUGCCGAAAACGGCAGUUUCACACCAACAAAGACAAAAGGAGUCAAACAAAGGUUUGGGGCAGCCACCACCUACAUUAUAGGUAGCUCUGUUGAGGAAAAGAACUGAUUCUUUUUGCAGUUGAAAAUGGAACUGCUUUACAUGCUGCAAAAAGGUUGGUUUUGUGGUGAGACAGAGUAAGUGGCGUCAUCAGGGCUGGAAACAGGAGUGGCAUUACCAGAGCCAGGUGGAAUUUCCCGUAUGUGGUCUGCAGAGAA